CCGCCGCUGCUGCUGCUCCCCUCCCCCACCGCUGCUGCUGCUCCCCUCCCCCACCGCCACCGCGGCCGAGCUAGGGAGCUAGGUCCCGCCGCCGCCCCCGCCGCCUGCUCCGAUUCCGGCGGGAUACGGGAGGUCCUCCACCCUGCUGCCUCGACCCGACGGCCUGCUGACCCGAAACGACGGCCUACUGCCCAUUCCGCCAAUCUGCCAAUCUCUGCAGCAAGACGAUGUUUCGAGGUGGACACAGGGGCCGGCGUUGUCGGGGUGCUUGAGGAGCGUUGCCGGAGGGUCAUUGGUCUUCUUCGCCGGCUGUUGGUCACGCUUCGAGGGUGAUUGAAGCAUGCCGCCAAAAAAAAGGGGUGGCGGUCUUAAAAAGAAGCUCAAGGACUUGGUAGGUGUAGGGACUUCGAGGCGGGGCCCCCCACCUAGCCCCCCUCCUAGCCCCCCUCCUGUCGCUCCCACAGGGCGGCCGCGUAGGAAGAAUGCGACGCGGGUACUCACUCCUAGUCCUAGCCCCCCUCCCGCAGCCGAUGAUGAUGACG
This is a long non-coding RNA of Lolium perenne, 542 nucleotides long. RefSeq lists it as uncharacterized. The record is from RefSeq and is a predicted model, not a curated record. NCBI's taxonomy places the organism in Eukaryota, Viridiplantae, Streptophyta, Magnoliopsida, Poales, Poaceae.